CUGCUCCUGUUGCAAGCCCUGGAUUAAGAAAUACCUUUAUUCUCUUCCCGUCCAGCUGCCCACUGGAUGUUCUUCAGUUGAAAAGAAGGAAGAUGUGAUUUCUUAGGUCAAAGAAACUGAUAUUCCUGGAAAAACAGGCCAGGGUCUGCACACUCAGACUCUCCUUCGAGCCUGAGCAGCAACAGGCAGCUUCCAGUUCUUCUUCAGUGCUGGUUUACCAGUUUGGGAUGGCAAGAUUAUUGUGGCUGUGAUCAUGGAAGAACCCAGACUCUUUGAUCCUCCACUUCUCACACAGUAGUUUAGAGUCUGGCUGCACUGUGGAGCAAGUCAGCUGGAGACCUGGGUGAGAAACUUGUGCUCAUUGUCAAGGGAGUGGUAGAAGAGGGAAGGAGCCUGGGCUCCAUCCUUGAGAGGUACUGGGGUUGUGACUGUCACUGUUGUGGUCCAUGUUCACCCAUAGCUCUCCUGAAAUAUUCCACAAUACCUUCAACUCUUCCUUUUCCACUUUCUCUGGUUCAAUACCCCUCCACAAAAUCUGUAAAGAAAACACAGCAUCCCCCCUCUGCUUUUCUGCUUUGCAGGGAAGCACUUUUAUCUCUGUUUCUCAUGGCCAGAAGAGGUUUGCUGGAGCUGUGAAGAGAACUGGGAGCCAUCCAGCUGAUACCGUGUCAGUACAGCAGCACAAGGUCCCUUCCCAGGCUAUUGGCAAGGCUGCAGACACCUGAUGAUGAUGAUAAUCAUGAUAAUAAAACCCACCAACAACUCAGGUGAGGGCUUAGAGUCAGAUCGAGGUUCUGGAUUUAGGGGAUGUCUUCAGUAAUAUUGCAAGAGAUGUCUCACAAGGGUGAUCUGGGAAGCGCUUAAAACAGCCUCCGAGGAUGAACUCCCCUUCAGGAUGUGUCUGUGGGGGUGAUGUGGGUGUUCGCUGGAUCGGGUCUGUCAGGCACAUUGGGAAUGGCCCGAAGGAGCACAGCAUCUUGCCCAGCCUCUGCUGAGGGCGCUGCAGUGACACGUGUCUGGGAUGCGGCUCAGCGACAGCAGAGCUGCAGCAGUGCCCGAGCACCACGCGAGGGCAGGGGAGCUCCGAGGCUGCUCCUGCAGCGCCACAAGGAAAGGCUCUUCCCAGCCCCGGUGUUGUAAGAACUGCAUAAACUCUGUGUCUGUCUCUG
Molecule: long non-coding RNA, 1169 nt
Organism: Pseudopipra pipra
Lineage: Eukaryota; Metazoa; Chordata; Aves; Passeriformes; Pipridae
Exons: 2
Source: RefSeq, a predicted model, not a curated record